This 504-nucleotide ribosomal RNA is filed under the name uncultured bacterium. RNAcentral describes it as "partial 16S ribosomal RNA". It matches the Rfam family "Bacterial small subunit ribosomal RNA", at positions 28 to 523 of the family's 1533-position model. The record is from RNAcentral.
GAUGAACGCUAGCGGCAGGCCUAAUACAUGCAAGUCGAACGGGAUCUGAGGGUAGCUUGCUACCCGAUUUGAGAGUGGCGCACGGGUGCGUAACGCGUGAGCAACCUACCCAUAUCAGGGGGAUAGCCCGAAGAAAUUCGGAUUAACACCGCAUAAUAAUACGCUAACACAUGUUGAUGUAUUUAAAUAUUUAUAGGAUAUGGAUGGGCUCGCGUGACAUUAGCUAGUUGGUAAGGUAACGGCUUACCAAGGCGACGAUGUCUAGGGGCUCUGAGAGGAGAAUCCCCCACACUGGUACUGAGACACGGACCAGACUCCUACGGGAGGCAGCAGUAAGGAAUAUUGGUCAAUGGGCGCAAGCCUGAACCAGCCAUGCCGCGUGCAGGAUGACUGCCCUAUGGGUUGUAAACUGCUUUUGUUAGGGAAUAAACCUUCUUACGUGUAAGGAGCUGAAUGUACCUAAAGAAUAAGGAUCGGCUAACUCCGUGCCAGCAGCCGCCGUAA